CUUAUCAAGAGAGACUGAGGGAUUUGGCCCUACGACGUCCGGCAACCGGCUUAGCGCGGUGCUACAUCCAACAGGAAACUGGCAGAUAAG
RNAcentral lists this non-coding RNA (90 nucleotides) under uncultured Veillonella sp. RNAcentral describes it as "SAM riboswitch (S box leader)". It matches the Rfam family "SAM riboswitch aptamer (S box leader)". From Rfam's summary of the family: The SAM riboswitch is found upstream of a number of genes which code for proteins involved in methionine or cysteine biosynthesis in Gram-positive bacteria. The SAM riboswitch acts at the level of transcription termination control. The predicted structure consists of a complex stem-loop region followed by a single stem loop terminator region. Lineage: Bacteria; Bacillati; Bacillota; Negativicutes; Veillonellales; Veillonellaceae. The record is from RNAcentral.